Molecule: long non-coding RNA, 446 nt
Organism: Columba livia (rock pigeon)
Lineage: Eukaryota; Metazoa; Chordata; Aves; Columbiformes; Columbidae
Exons: 2
Source: RefSeq, a predicted model, not a curated record
CUGGAGUAUAAAUGGGAAAGUUCAAUGCUGGGAAGGGUUUCUUCUUCUUCCUUUCUUGCCUUUUUCUUCCAUGAACUGAAGAUAGGACAGUGCUAAUCAAACACUGGGAGAUUAACUGGAAGAAAGUCCUUUUGCAAAGCCCUGAAGCCGAGUUCGCUCCCUCCAAGAACCUUUAGUGCUCGUUCUCACUCUGGAAAACCUGGAAGCGUUGAAUUGUGAGCUGAUUUUUCUGCAAACAGAGCACAGACGUGAAGGAGGUGCUGAUAAAGGACGAAUGCAUUGAUUUGUGAUAAAUCCAGAUAAAGCAGUUUUUUGGGGGAGCAGGGUGAUUUUCCUCCCAGCUUUUUGACCUUGUGCUGCUCUGAUAAUUGCUCAGAUGUGCCUGAGCCUCCGUUCUUUGGUGCAAAAGAUAAGUCGCCUCUGUAUAAAUGUGACCAUGUACCCCA